This 490-nucleotide ribosomal RNA is filed under the name uncultured bacterium. RNAcentral's name for it is "partial 16S ribosomal RNA". It matches the Rfam family "Bacterial small subunit ribosomal RNA", at positions 29 to 507 of the family's 1533-position model. The record is from RNAcentral.
AGUGAACGCUGGCGGUAGGCCUAACACAUGCAAGUCGAACGGCAGCACAGGAGAGCUUGCUCUCUGGGUGGCGAGUGGCGGACGGGUGAGGAAUACAUCGGAAUCUGCCCAGUCGUGGGGGAUAACGUAGGGAAACUUACGCUAAUACCGCAUACGACCUUCGGGUGAAAGAGGGGGAUCGCAAGACCUCUCGCGAUUGGAUGAGCCGAUGUCGGAUUAGCUAGUUGGCGGGGUAAUGGCCCACCAAGGCGACGAUCCGUAGCUGGUCUGAGAGGAUGAUGAGCCACACUGGAACUGAGACACGGUCCAGACUCCUACGGGAGGCAGCAGUGGGGAAUAUUGGACAAUGGGCGCAAGCCUGAUCCAGCCAUACCGCGUGGGUGAAGAAGGCCUUCGGGUUGUAAAGCCCUUUUGUUGGGAAAGAAAUCUUUCAGGCUAAUACCCUGGGAGGAUGACGGUACCCAAAGAAUAAGCACCGGCUAACUUCGUG